Molecule: ribosomal RNA, 432 nt
Filed under: uncultured bacterium
Lineage: Bacteria
Description: partial 16S ribosomal RNA
Rfam family: Bacterial small subunit ribosomal RNA
Source: RNAcentral
CCUACGGGUGGCAGCAGUGGGGAAUUGUUCGCAAUGGGCGCAAGCCUGACGACGCAACGCCGCGUGGAGGAUGAAGGUCUUCGGAUUGUAAACUCCUGUUGCUCGGGACGCGGUACCGAGUGAGGAAGCCCCGGCUAACUCUGUGCCAGCAGCCGCGGUAAUACAGAGGGGGCAAGCGUUGUUCGGAAUUACUGGGCGUAAAGGGCGCGUAGGCGGCCUGUUAAGUCGAACGUGAAAUCCCCGGGCUCAACCCGGGAACUGCGUCCGAAACUGGCAGGCUCGAAUCCGGGAGAGGGAUGCGGAAUUCCAGGUGUAGCGGUGAAAUGCGUAGAUAUCUGGAGGAACAUCGGUGGCGAAGGCGGCAUCCUGGACCGGAUUGACGCUGAGGCGCGAAAGCCAGGGGAGCAAACGGGAUUAGAUACCCUUGUAGUC